This 1044-nucleotide ribosomal RNA is filed under the name Triticum aestivum (bread wheat). RNAcentral describes it as "partial small subunit ribosomal RNA". The record is from RNAcentral. Lineage: Eukaryota; Viridiplantae; Streptophyta; Magnoliopsida; Poales; Poaceae.
AUGGUCGGGGCAAUCGUCAGCGGCCAGAUGGUGGAGCACGUUGGCCACAAAGGGGUGCCCGUUUACAUAGCAGAGAUUUCUCCUCAGAACAAGAGGGGCACUCUAGGCUCUGUGAACCCGUUGUCUAUAACAAUUGGGACGGUGUUGGCCUAUGUGGUCGGCAUGCUUGUUACUUGGAGGAUGCUUGCGAUGAUAGGAACCUUGCCAUGCACAAUAUUGAUACCUGGCCUAUUCUUCAUUCCAGAAUCUCCAAGAUGGCUGGCAAAGAUGAACAAGAUGCAUGAUUUUGAAGCCUCUCUACAAGUUUUGAGAGGAUCUGAGACCGAUAUAACCUCAGAAGUGAAUGUUAUAAAGACAGCGGUAGCAUCAGCAAACAAAAGGACGGCAAUCCGUUUCCAAGAGUUAAACCAAAAGAAAUUCCGCAUGCCCCUGAUACUAGGAAUUGGCCUGCUUGUACUACAACAACUAAGUGGGAUCAAUGCUAUACUUUUUUAUGCAGGUAGCAUCUUCAAAACUGCAGGUCUUACAAACAGCAAUUUGGCCGCAUGUGGAGUUGGAGCUAUUGCGCUUCUUGCCACUGGAGUUACAACCUGGUUACUAGACAGAGCUGGCCGACGGAUCCUACUUAUUAUCUCUUCUGCCGGAAUGACCGUAAGUCUUCUUGCAAUUGCCGUCAUAUUUUUUCUCAAGGACAAUGUUCCACAAGAUUCUGACAUGUAUUAUAUAUUAAGCAUGGUCUCCUUGUUUGCUAUCUUGGCUUGUGUAAUCACCUACUCCUUCGGUAUGGGCGCCAUUCCAUGGGUCAUAAUGUCUGAGAUCCUGCCGGUUAGCAUCAAGAGCCUGGCGGGAAGCUUCGCGACGCUCGCCAACUGGCUAACCUCCUUUGGGAUGACAAUGACAGCAAACUUGCUGCUCAGCUGGAGUGCUGGAGGUACCUUUGUGUGCUACAUGCUCGUGAGCGCUUUCACGCUUGUGUUCAUCAUCCUCUGGGUUCCGGAGACCAAGGGAAGAACUCUCGAGGAGAUACAAUGGUCAUUCCGCUGA